RNAcentral lists this ribosomal RNA (570 nucleotides) under Triticum aestivum (bread wheat). Its description in RNAcentral is "partial small subunit ribosomal RNA". The record is from RNAcentral. Lineage: Eukaryota; Viridiplantae; Streptophyta; Magnoliopsida; Poales; Poaceae.
AUGUAUCUUCACGAGGACUCGAGCGUAAGGAUCAUCCACCGAGACCUGAAAGCUAACAACAUUCUGAUUGAUGAUGCCAUGAAUCCGAAGAUUGCGGACUUCGGGUUAGCUAGGCUGCAAGUAGGAGGCCAUACUCAAACCAUGACAACUAGAGUUGUUGGAACGUGCGGGUAUAUGGCGCUAGAGUAUGCAAUACAUGGAAACAUGUCGCCAAAGAUCGAUAUUUUCAGCUUUGGUGUCUUGGUGCUUGAAAUUGUAACCAAGAGGAGGAACUGCGGCUCCGAUGAUUGCGAGACGGACACGGCGAAUCUCCUAAGUGAUGUAUGGACUUGUUGGAGCAAAGGGAUGAUAUCACAGAUGAUUGAUGAAUCACUUGAAGGACACCCCCGAAUCCAUGUGCUAAGAUGUAUCCACAUUGGGUUGCUGUGUGUCCAAGCAGACCCUGACGACAGGCCUGACAUCCCAUCCAUCAUUUUCAUGUUGAACAGGGAGGACAUGGAGCUUCAGCCACCAGCACAGCCUGCAUUCUUCUUCGGGGAAGACUCAAACUCACCUUCUCUGCCAUGCUAG